AGGGCACCACGCCAGCCUAUAAGCAGCCGCAGGGGUUGAGCCCUGCAGAGCCCCAGAGGCAGAGCUGCCCAAGGCUUUGGGAGCCCACCUCUUGCAUCACUGUGCCCUGGAUGUGAGACGUGGAAUCAAGGAGAUUAUUUUGGAGCUUUAAGACGUAAUGGCACCCUGCUGGGUUUCAGACUUGAGUGGAGCCUGCAGCCUUUCUUUCGGCCGGUUUCUCCCUUUUGGAACGGGAGUAUUUACCCAAUGCCUGUACCCCCAUGGUGGCAGCUGAGGCUUACUACCCCAGGAAAGGGAUGCCACCAGAGAAGGCAGACAACCAAGAUGGCGACUCUCAAUUUUUGAGCUCCUAAUUUUCUCAUGUCAGACAUAAGAAAAAAAAAUAUUUUUUAAAGAAAAAGCUUUAGGUUGCAAAAAUCUAGGCCUUUCAACUUUAAAAUCCUAUUCUUGCAAGCCUUGGAGAAUAAAGCUUAUGCAUAAACAGUAGAUUUGGAAACAGAAAUAUGCCUAAUUACCCAGAGCCAUUCUUUCAAUACGCCAGUGAUUGUUUAAAGAUUCUAUAGGCUGGAGUCAAUGGCAGGAGGCGGGUGGGAAAAGAGUCAAGAGGGAGGAGAGAAGAAGCAAGAGGGUUGGGUAGAUAUUGUCACAUGACCCUGAGAGGAGGAUUCUGGGUCAAACCCCUAGGGGGUUGUGUGUAAUGGAGACUCCAGAUCCAUUUGGGAAUCUGGCUCCAAAGAAGACUUCACCUUGCCUUCUGAGUGGAGCCCUGAAGUGGCAAGACUCAUAGAAUUCCCCCACGGGUCCACACAAGAGAGAAUGAAUAGAGAAGGCUGCGUGCUGGCUGGACCAAGGCAGCCUCGGGUGACACCACCACCACCACCGCCGCUGCCGCCAUCGCCAUCACCACUGCCGCUGCCAUCACCGCCACCACCACCACCAUCACCACCACCAUCACCACAUUAUGGACAAUAGCCCAAUGUUUCCUGAGUUCCCUAGAGGGUUGAAAGAGAAUAGGACCUAGAGAGAUCACAUAGUUGGGACAGGCACUCAUUAAUUUGAUCCAAUGACAAGAGACCAGAUGGGAAGAAGGAUGCCUUGAGAGAUGUCAGUGUGCACCCAUGGAUAGAAGCAGCUGGUGACUGGGUACUUGGGAAGCCACAUGGACACACACAAAGCUCCUGGAAGACGUUUUCAAGGAGUUGGGCUGUGCUGGGAUCCAGAACUGGCUGAAGAAACCAUGAGCUGACAUAAAAUUUCUGCCACCUAGCAGAAUGGAGGCUCCAUUUGGAAAUUAAAUUAUAUACUUAAAAAAACUAUAA
This is a long non-coding RNA of Homo sapiens (human), 1319 nucleotides long. Ensembl annotates it as long intergenic non-protein coding RNA 570. The record is from Ensembl. Lineage: Eukaryota; Metazoa; Chordata; Mammalia; Primates; Hominidae.